This 253-nucleotide ribosomal RNA is filed under the name uncultured bacterium. RNAcentral's name for it is "partial 16S ribosomal RNA". It matches the Rfam family "Bacterial small subunit ribosomal RNA", at positions 524 to 776 of the family's 1533-position model. The record is from RNAcentral.
UACGUAGGGGGCAAGCGUUGUCCGGAAUCAUUGGGCGUAAAGAGCGUGUAGGCGGUUCGGUAAGUCGGCUGUGAAAGUCCAGGGCUCAACCCUGGGAUGCCGGUCGAUACUGCCGGACUAGAGUUCGGAAGAGGCGAGUGGAAUUCCCGGUGUAGCGGUGAAAUGCGCAGAUAUCGGGAGGAACACCUAUGGCGAAGGCAGCUCGCUGGGCCUGACCUGACGCUGAGGAGCGAAAGCGUGGGGAGCGAACAGG